AGAAUGUGAUAGGGACUCCGAGUGCCCGUAUACGCGGGCUGUCCAGGUGUUUAAAAAUCAUCUGAAGAAAGGGCCGGGCAAGACCGGUGCCAGCCGCCGCGGUAAUACCGGCGGCUCGAGUGGUGGCCACUAUUAUUGGGCUUAAAGGGUCCGUAGCUGGACCGAUAAGUCUCUUGGGAAAUCCGCCGGCUCAACCGGCGGGCGUCUAAGGGAUACUGUUGGUCUAGGGACCGGGAGAGGUGAGAGGUACUCCGGGGGUAGGAGUGAAAUCCUGUAAUCCCCGGGGGACCACCGAUUGCGAAGGCAUCUCACCAGAACGGCUCCGACAGUGAGGGACGAAAGCUGGGGGAGCAAACCGGAUUAGAUACCCGGGUAGUCCCAGCCGUAAACUAUGCGCGUUAGGUGUCCUGGUGACCACGAGUCACCUGGGUGCCGAAGGGAAACCGUGAAACGUGCCGCCUGGGAAGUACGGUCGCAAGGCUGAAACUUAA
RNAcentral lists this ribosomal RNA (491 nucleotides) under uncultured archaeon. RNAcentral describes it as "bacterial SSU rRNA". It matches the Rfam family "Archaeal small subunit ribosomal RNA", at positions 362 to 859 of the family's 1478-position model. The record is from RNAcentral.